RNAcentral lists this ribosomal RNA (764 nucleotides) under uncultured bacterium. RNAcentral describes it as "bacterial SSU rRNA". It matches the Rfam family "Bacterial small subunit ribosomal RNA", at positions 62 to 860 of the family's 1533-position model. The record is from RNAcentral.
UCGCACGAGAAAGUGGAGCAUCCAUGAGUAAAGUGGCGUACGGGUGAGUAACACGUGGAUCAUCUACCUCUUAGUGGGGAAUAACCCUGGGAAACCGGGGCUAAUACCGCAUAAGCCUGCAAAGGGAAAGCAGCAAUGCGCUGAGAGAGGAGUCCGCGGCCGAUUAGCUAGUUGGUAGGGUAAUGGCCUACCAAGGCAAUGAUCGGUAGCCGGCCUGAGAGGGCACACGGCCACACUGGCACUGAAACACGGGCCAGACUCCUACGGGAGGCAGCAGUGGGGAAUCUUGCACAAUGGAGGAAACUCUGAUGCAGCGACGCCGCGUGAGCGAUGAAGCCCUUCGGGGUGUAAAGCUCUUUCGACGGGAACGAUAAUGACGGUACCCGGAGAAGAAGCUGCGGCUAACUACGUGCCAGCAGCCGCGGUAAUACGUAGGCAGCAAGCGUUGUUCGGAAUUACUGGGCGUAAAGAGUGUGUAGGCGGUUCUCUAUGUUCGGUGUGAAAUCUCCCGGCUUAACUGGGAGGGUGCGCCGAAAACUGGAGGGCUUGAGUAUGGGAGAGGAAAGCGGAAUUCCUGGUGUAGCGGUGAAAUGCGUAGAUAUCAGGAGGAACACCUGCGGUGUAGACGGCUUUCUGGGCCAUCACUGACGCUGAGACACGAAAGCGUGGGUAGCAAACAGGAUUAGAUACCCUGGUAGUCCACGCCCUAAACGAUGCAUACUUGGUGUGAGCCGUCCAUUCGGUUCGUGCCGGAGCUAACGCGU